This 816-nucleotide long non-coding RNA is filed under the name Homo sapiens (human). RNAcentral describes it as "HSALNT0357962". Lineage: Eukaryota; Metazoa; Chordata; Mammalia; Primates; Hominidae. The record is from RNAcentral.
CUGCGCAGGAGGGAACGGACUUUGUAGCAGUCACUUUGCCCGAAGGGCGACGCGUCUCUGCUUUUGCAGGCGGCAGCUCGGACUCCCCUCACUCUUCCCAGCGUUGCGUUUGCCUCUGUCUUUGCCUCGAGUUCCCCGCAGCCUCUCCAGCGGGAGGCGCUUUUGGUAUUCGUACCCUGGGCAUGAACCAACAGGACUCCCCAUGCCCUGUGCUUUUUCAGUGGGUUCGAAGAUCAGAGAUUGCGAGGUGCUCUGGGUGAUCGCUCAAGGAGCAGGGAGCUUCCUCCCCCUGAUUUUGGCCUUCUCGCUGUGCGGUGAGUGGAUAGCGGGCGCGCAGUGUGGCAGUGGCGGCGAAGAUUGGCGCUAUCAGGAGGAGCAAAAGGGAAGGAUCUGCUGCUGGGGGCUCGCUGGGUGACCCUUUGCCAGACGAAAAGAGCUGGUCGAGAGAGAAGCGCUUGGCAGGAGCUCUCUGCGGGACCUAAGCUCCGUGGCUGCUCGGGAUCCCUACGUCCGCUGCUGCUGAAGGAGCAGAGGGGAGGACGCCAGCGGUUGCUUACUGGAGCCUGGAGGAAAAUGGAAACAUCAUUCCCUAGAAACAGUUGAAGUUGACAGACCUAGAGGUUGACAAAAGGACACGACACUAGGUUUUUUGGGAUCCUCAACAGAUUGGAUAAUGCUCAUCUGCAUUGAUGAGGGAGUUCCUGCUCACUCAGUCUAUUGAUGAAUUUGCAUUGUCAUGUUUCGAAAUACCAUUCCAAAGACCUGCAAAUAAGUUUGCUUUCAUCAUUACAUGUUGAGCCCAGGACAAGAAAACCA